UGCAACACACACUAAACCCCUGAGCUCAGCCCAAACGGAGACUCCUUGGAGCCCAGAAGUAGCUGCUCGGAGCGCUCCUGGGUCCGUACUGCCAGCCCCGUAGCCCGUCGUCUCCCGAACCAGACACUGCCUCUCACGGGGGCGGAGGGAAUCCCUCCGCCUGCCUGACCCACAAAGCCUGGGAGAUGGAAUCCCUGCGGUUUGCUUGUCUCUGUGAACUGUGCGACUGUGGGUAAGUGAGCGCUCGAACAGGCACAGAGACACACGCCCUUAUUUAUUUUUGCUGAAGGCUUCUAGAGCAAGACUGGAUUCGUUUCGCCUUUCCCCCCCCUGCACACACCAGACCUGAUCUUAAGCAAAAGCUGCUGGCACUGAGUUGGGCAGGCGGGCUAAAAGCCAUGGGCAGCGGAGAAGGACAGCCGGCUGCUUUAUUUCUCUCGCUCUAGGUCUCUUUCUCUCUGCGUUAGUAUGGAGCCAUUUUAGAAAGAGCUAUCAUCACUUGUACUGCUGUGGAAACCUAGAGGCAUGAGAAAGUCUCUGCCCCACAGAUCCUCCACGUGCGUGUCCAUGGAUAUAUUCUGUAGUGUUUACCCACAUCCCUGGGGACUUACAGUUUUUAACCACCUCUUUACAGAACAUGACAGGGGCCUGCAGCCGUGCCCUGAGCCAUGUUGCUAGCGGGAGUUGGGUAAUAGCAGGCGGGGGGGGGGUCAUUUCACAGUAUUUGGUAGCAUCCCGCUCCUAGCUCCACCACAGGAGAGAUCUCUUCCUCCUACCAAUUGCAUCAGUCUCCCCAGAAGCUCUGAGAGACGCCGAGUAGAGGGCAGCAAUUCUCAGGGGCCCAUCAUCCGACUGCCCAGCACCCAGCUCCCAGCGAGCAGACCCGGCCGCCUUGGCGGUCACCUCCCCUGGCUCUGAUGGCUCCCCUGAGGCAGGCAGGCUGGAUGUGGAGAAAGUUCCCAGAGGGGAGGGGAGCCCGGUUUCGGUUUCUCUCUCUCAGCUGCUUCUCUGUCACGCUCAGUCGACACAAGCGCCACAAGAACUGCAAGAAGCGGAGCAGGCCAGCGCCUCAGGACUGCAGGAGGCCCCAGCUGUCCCAUUACAAGGCAACUUACACCCAGCCACCAAGUAAGCGAGGGGAACCAAAGCAGCCUCCCUUGGGAGCGUUUUACACAUGCCCCGUGCGCCUCCCGGUCACCUCCUCACUCUUCCUGCCCUCCAGACGUGCAUCCUCGAAGCAGCAAGAGGCCGCUCCGCACCCCUCCACACCCCAACCCCCCGGCCAUGGCCUUCAGCACCACGCAGCGGGCAGAGUUCAUUCCCUGGGAGCUGGGCCAGAGGACCAAGCCGCCUGUCCAGGCGCUCUCCUGUCCCCUGACCGGGCAGCCGAGAUGGAAAGCACCACGCAGCGAGAGUUCACUGAGAAACGCAUCCCCAAACCGGAGCUGGUCAAAGGCCUCCAGGCUCAGCUCACCAUUGAAGGUGAUCAUGACAUGACGACAACCCACCAGAGCACCUACCAGUCUGUGCCCUUGGAGAAGCGGGUAGCCCAGUCACGCGGUAAAGGAGUAGUGCCAGCAGGGAAACGAGCCCAGGUGGAAUACAUGACCAAGUACCAGAGCGAUUUCCCAGCAUGCAGCUUGUUACCUGCACGGAUUCAGCCUGCUCAGCCUCCUCUGGACAACCUGGCAAUCAACCAGGGCUUCAGCACAGAUUUUCAGACGGUGCAGAGGGAAAGCUACCAUGGCUGGGACACCCGCAGAUACCCUCGUGCCUGCCCCAUCAAGCUGAAAGAGGAGCUGGCAGACUUGGGGAAAGAGAGGGAUGGAAAAUUCAGUGGAGACACUGUGACCAAGCUCUCUUACCCUCCUCUGCCCUUGGACAGGCCUCCGGGGACUAUCCAGUGGCCCCCCACAGUGCUGAGAUCCCUCCCUGCAAAGUUUGAUGAUUCCACAGCCCACAAGUUCUUCUUCAGAGAGUGGAGAGUCCAGCCCCGAAUCCGGCAAGGUGACCCCCACGAUGGAGUCUACAUCCGACCUCUGGGCAAGUUUGAAAGCCAAACUACCACACACAGCACAUUCCUGCCCCAGAGAGCGGAGAAGGUGAAGAACUGCAAACCAGAGCAGAAACCCAUCCAAGCACAGGGAAAGCAGGAUUUCUCCACCAUCCACAGGGAGUCUUACAGGCCAAUCCCACUCCCAGUCUGUCGUUUGCAAAUGUACUUGAUCCAGCAACAGCAGCAGGGAAGAGAAACAAUGAAUUCUCUUGUGCCCGUUAAAGCCUGAUAUGCAGUGUGGAUCCAGGUCCCUCAGCCAAAUCAACUCUGUCCCCAGAAUGCUAAUGGGCAAACCAUUACUAACUAGACAAUUUGAUAAACUGUUUUUUGUGCAUCUUAGCAACAUUAAAAUGGCAUCUAAAAUCUCUGAAACUUGAGUGCCUACACUGCAGAGGUGUGAUUGCAGCUCGCACAGAAGUACUCACACUAACUUUUAAUCUAGCUACCAUGGCUAAAAACAAAGAUGCAGCAGCACAGAAUAGGAACCCAAGUACACAGCAAGGGUUCUCGGCAGGCUUGUACAGCCUGCAGGUCUUCACUGCCUUUUAGCCAGGUUAGCGAGAUUCAAGCUAGCGUGGGUAAGCAAUCACAGUGCAGACACAUCCUAGAAUAGCUGCCGUUAAUUUGGGUGUUGUGCAUGGAUGUGGUGGUUUAAGUUACAGCAAUACAAAAUGUAAUAGCUAUUGAAAUUAUUCAAUAAUUUGUACCUAAUUUCAUUGUAUUUCCUGUUUGUUUAAGGAUUCUGUGGGAAUGCUACCAUUAAUAUUUUAACACUAGCUUUCAGAGUGCAUUAGUCUAUUUUGCAUUUUAUUUUAAAGAUAAUAAAAAUUGCUUGUGCUUAGUAUUAGCA
RNAcentral lists this long non-coding RNA (2906 nucleotides) under Chrysemys picta bellii (western painted turtle). Its description in RNAcentral is "lncRNA (ENSCPBG00000020272.1)". The record is from RNAcentral. Lineage: Eukaryota; Metazoa; Chordata; Testudines; Emydidae.